GGGGCUAAACCAUGCACCGAAGCUGCGGCAGCGACACUGUGUGUUGUUGGGUAGGGGAGCGUUCUGUAAGCCUGUGAAGGUGUGUCGUGAGGCAUGCUGGAGGUAUCAGAAGUGCGAAUGCUGACAUAAGUAACGAUAAAGCGGGUGAAAAGCCCGCUCGCCGGAAGACCAAGGGUUCCUGUCCAACGUUAAUCGGGGCAGGGUGAGUCGACCCCUAAGGCGAGGCCGAAAGGCGUAGUCGAUGGGAAACGGGUUAAUAUUCCCGUACUUGGUGUUACUGCGAAGGGGGGACGGAGAAGGCUAUGUUGGCCGGGCGACGGUUGUCCCGGUUUAAGCGUGUAGGUGUGUGUUCCAGGUAAAUCCGGUUCACUUUAACACUGAGGCGUGACGACGAGGCACUACGGUGCUGAAGCAACAAAUGCCCUGCUUCCAGGAAAAGCCUCUAAGCAUCAGGUAACAUCAAAUCGUACCCCAAACCGACACAGGUGGUCAGGUAGAGAAUACCAAGGCGCUUGAGAGAACUCGGGUGAAGGAACUAGGCAAAAUGGUGCCGUAACUUCGGGAGAAGGCACGCUGACACGUAGGUGAAGUGAUUUACUCAUGGAGCUGAAGUCAGUCGAAGAUACCAGCUGGCUGCAACUGUUUAUUAAAAACACAGCACUGUGCAAACACGAAAGUGGACGUAUACGGUGUGACGCCUGCCCGGUGCCGGAAGGUUAAUUGAUGGGGUCAGCGCAAGCGAAGCUCCUGAUCGAAGCCCCGGUAAACGGCGGCCGUAACUAUAACGGUCCUAAGGUAGCGAAAUUCCUUGUCGGGUAAGUUCCGACCUGCACGAAUGGCGUAAUGAUGGCCAGGCUGUCUCCACCCGAGACUCAGUGAAAUUGAACUCGCUGUGAAGAUGCAGUGUACCCGCGGCAAGACGGAAAGACCCCGUGAACCUUUACUAUAGCUUGACACUGAACAUUGAGCCUUGAUGUGUAGGAUAGGUGGGAGGCUUUGAAGUGUGGACGCCAGUCUGCAUGGAGCCGACCUUGAAAUACCACCCUUUAAUGUUUGAUGUUCUAACGUGGACCCGUUACCCGGGUUGCGGACAGUGUCUGGUGGGUAGUUUGACUGGGGCGGUCUCCUCCUAAAGAGUAACGGAGGAGCACGAAGGUUGGCUAAUCCUGGUCGG
Molecule: ribosomal RNA, 1174 nt
Filed under: Salmonella enterica
Lineage: Bacteria; Pseudomonadati; Pseudomonadota; Gammaproteobacteria; Enterobacterales; Enterobacteriaceae
Also listed under: 1 other name
Description: partial 23S ribosomal RNA
Rfam family: Bacterial large subunit ribosomal RNA
Source: RNAcentral